CGGUCCUUGACAUACUAAGAACUUUCCAGAGAUGGAUUGGUGCCUUCGGGAACUUAGAUACAGGUGCUGCAUGGCUGUCGUCAGCUCGUGUCGUGAGAUGUUGGGUUAAGUCCCGCAACGAGCGCAACCCUUUUCCUUAUUUGCCAGCGGGUCAUGCCGGGAACUUUAAGGAUACUGCCAGUGACAAACUGGAGGAAGGCGGGGACGACGUCAAGUCAUCAUGGCCCUUACGGCCAGGGCUACACACGUGCUACAAUGGUCGGUACAAAGGGUUGCUACCUCGCGAGAGGAUGCUAAUCUCAAAAAGCCGAUCGUAGUCCGGAUCGCAGUCUGCAACUCGACUGCGUGAAGUCGGAAUCGCUAGUAAUCGCGGAUCAGAAUGCCGCGGUGAAUACGUUCCCGGGCCUUGUACACACCGCCCGUCACACCAUGGGAGUUUGUUGCACCAGAAGUAGGUAGUCUAACCGCAAGGAGGACGCUUACCACGGUGUGGCCGAUGACUGGGGUGAAGUCGUAACAAGGUAGGCGUAGAUGA
RNAcentral lists this ribosomal RNA (535 nucleotides) under uncultured bacterium. RNAcentral's name for it is "bacterial SSU rRNA". It matches the Rfam family "Bacterial small subunit ribosomal RNA", at positions 975 to 1509 of the family's 1533-position model. The record is from RNAcentral.